UCUGUCGCAACGCCGAAUCCUGCCAGCGGCCGUACGGGAACAGUCGUCGCGUAAGCGCCGUAGGCAGGAGCGGGGGACCCAAGGUAAGUGCCGGGCCCAGCAGUUCACGCUGGACCGGCUUGGGGUGAAGCCGCGCACCGCAGGGUGUGCGACCGGGCAACUCAACCGGCCCGAACCCGACAGCUCACCUCGCAGGCGUCGGUGAGGGGAUCC
This 213-nucleotide small RNA is filed under the name Streptomyces sviceus. RNAcentral's name for it is "c-di-AMP sequence". The stretch from base 46 to 213 matches the Rfam family "c-di-AMP riboswitch aptamer (ydaO/yuaA leader)". Rfam says of the family: This family represents a conserved RNA structure found upstream of the ydaO and yuaA genes in Bacillus subtilis and related genes in other bacteria. Lineage: Bacteria; Bacillati; Actinomycetota; Actinomycetes; Kitasatosporales; Streptomycetaceae. The record is from RNAcentral.